RNAcentral lists this ribosomal RNA (160 nucleotides) under Cytospora mali. Its description in RNAcentral is "5.8S ribosomal RNA". It matches the Rfam family "5.8S ribosomal RNA". From Rfam's summary of the family: 5.8S ribosomal RNA (5.8S rRNA) is a component of the large subunit of the eukaryotic ribosome. The record is from RNAcentral. Lineage: Eukaryota; Fungi; Ascomycota; Sordariomycetes; Diaporthales; Cytosporaceae.
UCAAAACUUUCAACAACGGAUCUCUUGGUUCUGGCAUCGAUGAAGAACGCAGCGAAAUGCGAUAAGUAAUGUGAAUUGCAAAAUUCAGUGAAUCAUCGAAUCUUUGAACGCACAUUGCGCCCUCUGGUAUUCCAGAGGGCAUGCCUGUUCGAGCGUCAUU